RNAcentral lists this ribosomal RNA (501 nucleotides) under uncultured bacterium. Its description in RNAcentral is "bacterial SSU rRNA". It matches the Rfam family "Bacterial small subunit ribosomal RNA", at positions 24 to 518 of the family's 1533-position model. The record is from RNAcentral.
UCAGGAUGAACGCUAGCGACAGGCUAACACAUGCAAGUCGAGGGGCAGCAUAAAAGUAGCAAUACUUGGUGGCGACCGGCGCACGGGUGAGUAACGCGUAUGCAACCUACCUAUCAGAGGGGAAUAACCCGGCGAAAGUCGGACUAAUACCGCAUAAAACAGGGGCACCGCAUGGUGAUAUUUGUUAAAGAAAUUCGCUGAUAGAUGGGCAUGCGUUCCAUUAGGUAGUUGGUGAGGUAACGGCUCACCAAGCCGACGAUGGAUAGGGGAACUGAGAGGUUGGUCCCCCACACUGGUACUGAGACACGGACCAGACUCCUACGGGAGGCAGCAGUGAGGAAUAUUGGUCAAUGGGCGAGAGCCUGAACCAGCCAAGUCGCGUGAAAGGAAGAAGGAUCUAUGGUUCGUAAACUUCUUUUGCAGGGGAAUAAAGUGCAGGACGUGUCCUGUUUUGUAUGUACCCUGAGAAUAAGGAUCGGCUAACUCCGUGCCAGCCGCUGC